Molecule: non-coding RNA, 783 nt
Organism: Misgurnus anguillicaudatus (oriental weatherfish)
Lineage: Eukaryota; Metazoa; Chordata; Actinopteri; Cypriniformes; Cobitidae
Source: RefSeq, a predicted model, not a curated record
ACACGCUGUUAUUUUGUGUGUGCGUAUGGCCAAGGUACAGUGCGCUCUUUUGCAUUAUGACCAGCCAUCAGUAAAUCGAAAUACAGUAAAAAAACGAGCGCGAAACCCUGACACUUUACAGAAAGGCACGGAUAUCCCCGCCCGAAGAAAAAAAGAGCACAGGACAAUGGUUGCAAGUUAAACAGCUGAACAUUUCACCAUCUGCAAAGAACAUUUCACCAUCGACAUAUUAACAUAAACGGUUCUCUUUUUCGUGUUUGACUGCGUUUGGUACAGGUCACAACAACAACGGCAGAUGCAGAGACCACGCUUUCCCUUGCUUCCACUCCACGGCUGAUCAUGCUUGAGGAUCCAGAUCUACAAAACAAAAAAUGGAUGCUGCCGAUUGAAGGCUAAGUCCCCUUUCCUGUGAUUGACCUACCAUUUCUUCAGCAUUUGCUGUUCACUUUGGUUGCUACUACGUGCUCAACAUCGAGUACCAAGUGGAAGCAGCCACUACUUUGGAGUUUAUUCAGAGAUUUAUUGUGAGGAUCAGCCCCGACAACAGCAAGUGCUCCUCUAAGUUCCAGGUGAGCAAAAGAAGUGGGAAGAUGGUGCAAAGGAAGAACUCUGGCCUGAACCAUCAUGUAUAUAUCCACCUUUAUUCAGGACUUUAUGUAUUAAGCAAAACUAUUAAGCUACUAAAGCAAAUACAUUCUACUCAACUCACCAGAGGUUUGUGAAGUUCUUUUUUAUCUUAAAGGUUUCUUUUAGUUAAUUUGUCCAUGCACUGAUUUAUAAUAU